AACUCUUAUAAAGGAACAAAAUUUUCAGUCCAUAAUGUAAAUAGCACUGAAAUAAAAAGACAAAUUGAGUCAAAACAAAUAAAUCAGGCAGAAUGUUCAAAUUAUUCUACAGAGUCUGACAGUGUUUCUGACUAUUCAGAUAAUGAUGAUAUGGAAUUAUCAGAUUCAAAAUCACUCGAUGCCCAAAAUUUAAAUAAAGUCCAAACAAAAAAAAGACAGAAUGAAGUUAACACAGAUUAUCCAACUUCAGUUAAGAAAAAGAAAACUGUUAAUCCAAACAUGCUUGCUGAAACAAGAAUCUCUACUUUUAGUGCCUGUAAUGAAUUAAUGAAUUUAGAUUUAAAGAAACUUCUUGAGCAGUCUUUAGAGGGUAAGGCUGUCCUUCAAAUUUACGAAAAAAAUAAGUGUUUGGAAGAAGAAGAUCGAACAGCUCUUGUAGACAUUAUUGUUAAAUGGCUGCUU
Nylanderia fulva is the source of this 462-nucleotide non-coding RNA. Lineage: Eukaryota; Metazoa; Arthropoda; Insecta; Hymenoptera; Formicidae. The record is from RefSeq and is a predicted model, not a curated record.